UACGUAGGUGGCAAGCGUUGUCCGGAAUUAUUGGGCGUAAAGCGCGCGCAGGCGGUCCUUUAAGUCUGAUGUGAAAGCCCACGGCUCAACCGUGGAGGGUCAUUGGAAACUGGGGGACUUGAGUACAGAAGAGAAGAGUGGAAUUCCACGUGUAGCGGUGAAAUGCGUAGAGAUGUGGAGGAACACCAGUGGCGAAAGCGGCGCACUGGACCAUAACUGACGCUGAGGCGCGAAAGCUAGGGGAGCAAACAG
This 252-nucleotide ribosomal RNA is filed under the name uncultured bacterium. Its description in RNAcentral is "partial 16S ribosomal RNA". It matches the Rfam family "Bacterial small subunit ribosomal RNA", at positions 524 to 775 of the family's 1533-position model. The record is from RNAcentral.